ACGUAGGUGGCAAGCGUUGUCCGGAAUUACUGGGCGUAAAGCGCACGCAGGCGGUCUGUCAAGUCGGAUGUGAAAUCCCCGGGCUCAACCUGGGAACUGCAUUCGAAACUGGCAGGCUAGAGUCUUGUAGAGGGGGGUAGAAUUCCAGGUGUAGCGGUGAAAUGCGUAGAGAUCUGGAGGAAUACCGGUGGCGAAGGCGGCCCCCUGGACAAAGACUGACGCUCAUGCACGAAAGCGUGGGGAUCAAACAGGA
RNAcentral lists this ribosomal RNA (253 nucleotides) under uncultured prokaryote. RNAcentral's name for it is "partial 16S ribosomal RNA". It matches the Rfam family "Bacterial small subunit ribosomal RNA", at positions 525 to 777 of the family's 1533-position model. The record is from RNAcentral.